Molecule: ribosomal RNA, 622 nt
Filed under: uncultured bacterium
Lineage: Bacteria
Description: bacterial SSU rRNA
Rfam family: Bacterial small subunit ribosomal RNA (bases 1-544)
Source: RNAcentral
CCUACGGGAGGCAGCAGUGGGAAUUUUGGACAAUGGGGGCAACCCUGAUCCAGCCAUUCCGCGUGAGUGAAGAAGGCCUUCGGGUUGUAAAGCUCUUUCGCAAGGGAAGAAAACUUAUGAUCGAAUAAAUCAUGAGGUUGACGGUACCUUGAUAAGAAGCACCGGCUAACUACGUGCCAGCAGCCGCGGUAAUACGUAGGGUGCGAGCGUUAAUCGGAAUUACUGGGCGUAAAGCGUGCGCAGGCGGUUUUGUAAGUCGGAUGUGAAAUCCCCGGGCUCAACCUGGGAACUGCGUUCGAAACUGCAAGGCUAGAGUGUGUCAGAGGGGGGUAGAAUUCCACGUGUAGCAGUGAAAUGCGUAGAGAUGUGGAGGAAUACCAAUGGCGAAGGCAGCCCCCUGGGAUAACACUGACGCUCAUGCACGAAAGCGUGGGGAGCAAACAGGAUUAGAUACCCUGGUAGUCCACGCCCUAAACGAUGUCAACUAGUUGUUGGUAGAGUAAAACUCUAUGAGUAACGUAGCUAACGCGUGAAGUUGACCGCCUGGGGGAGGUACGGUCGCGAGAUAAACUACGAAGAAGUAGACGCGNGAGACGUGCGACGACGACGACGAGGGAGGAGG